Molecule: ribosomal RNA, 253 nt
Filed under: uncultured bacterium
Lineage: Bacteria
Description: partial 16S ribosomal RNA
Rfam family: Bacterial small subunit ribosomal RNA
Source: RNAcentral
UACGUAGGGCGCAAGCGUUGUCCGGAAUUAUUGGGCGUAAAGAGCUCGUAGGCGGCUUGUCACGUCGGGUGUGAAAGCCCGGGGCUUAACCCCGGGUCUGCAUUCGAUACGGGCAGGCUAGAGUGUGGUAGGGGAGAUCGGAAUUCCUGGUGUAGCGGUGAAAUGCGCAGAUAUCAGGAGGAACACCGGUGGCGAAGGCGGAUCUCUGGGCCGAUACUGACGCUGAGGAGCGAAAGCGUGGGGAGCGAACAGG